Molecule: ribosomal RNA, 465 nt
Filed under: uncultured bacterium
Lineage: Bacteria
Description: partial 16S ribosomal RNA
Rfam family: Bacterial small subunit ribosomal RNA
Source: RNAcentral
GAUGAACGCUGGCGGCGUGCUUAACACAUGCAAGUCGAACGGAAAGGCCCAAGCUUGCUUGGGUCUUCGAGUGGCGAACGGGUGAGUAUCACGUGGGUGAUCUGCCCUGCACUUCGGGAUAAGCCUGGGAAACUGGGUCUAAUAUCGGAUAUGACAACAUUAUGGAUGGUGUGGUGGAUUGUAGUACGGUGUGGGAUGAGCCCGCGGCCUAUCAGCUUGUUGGUGGGGUAAUGGCCUACCAAGGCGUCGACGGGUAGCCGGCCUGUGAGGGUGUACGGCCACAUUGGGACUGAGAUACGGCCCAGACUCCUACGGGAGGCAGCAGUGGGGAAUAGUGCACAAUGGGCGCAAGCCUGAUGCAGCGACGCCGCGUGGGGGAUGACGGCCUUCGGGUUGUAAACUCCUUUCGCUAGGGACGAAGCGCAAGUGACGGUACCUGGAGAAGAAGCACCGGCUAACUACGUG